GUCUCCCUCUCCAGAGAUAUUCAAGACGAGUCUGGACACCUACCUAUGUGACCUAUUGAGUCAGGAUUUUGCCAGCAGUAUUUGUUAUCCAUGCAGUAUCAUCCUCUGGGCUUCUGUCAACACAUCUGGAGUGAUCAGGAUGGUUUGGAGGCAGCAUGUUUGCCACCAGAGUGCUGUAACUAUAGACUGAGACAAUCAGCUGUUCAUAUUGGCAUUAUUUAUUGCCAGGAAGCACAGUGAUACAGGCUUUAAUUCUCCAGGUCUGUUGCCAGUGUGCUGACAAAGAUUGGAAUUGAAAGCCAUAUAAUUUACAAAUUAACAUAGCUUUUCUGAUGAACUUUGGAUCAAAAGAGAUGAUGUCAGUUCCCAGCUGCAUGCUACAUUAGCAUUUUCAGAAGAAAAUAGUUAUUUUCUAUUCCUCUCUCUGACACUAGGAUAGAGCUAUCACAGUAUCAGAAGCACAGAGACAUCUGCAAAGUAUGUACUUUCAGGACUGCUUUUUGGAUAUGUCGGUCCUGGAAAAUACCUUGCAGAAUAGAACAUUAGUAGAUAUUAGCAGAGGGUCAAGCACAAGGUACAAGCAAAAUCAUACUACAGAGAGUUAUGUUCCCUCUGCUAUAGCAGAGAAUACAAGAAAGUUGUAGUAUUGCUUCCACUUACGCAAACUUCAUUACACAUAUACUGUUCUUUUCAAGAAGGCAAACUGCCUGUGGAAAAUCUCCCAAAACUUUUAUAUAAAUCCCUUACAGCCAUGCUUACUAACUAAGAAAGAAAGAGAGAAAGAAGGAGAGAAAGAGAGAAAGAAAGAAAGAAAGAUGGAAAGGAAGGAAGAAAGAAAGAAAGAAAGAAAGAAAGAAAGAAAGAAAGAAAGAAAGAAAGAAAGAAAGAUCAAUGAAAGCAAGAAAGAGAGAGGCUAUGAGCAAUUCUAUCUCUGUUGAACCUGAAAUGAAAGCCAAUAAUAACUGAGAAGAAUUCAAUAGCUUUCAAGAGCAUUUCUCUAUUUUCUUCAGCUAAAUUAAAAUGAACUCAUAUGCUCAACUGUGCUUAAGCAAAAAAUAGUUACCAUGGUUACAGUGGAUUUUUUCUAAAUGUUGCAGAGUAUAUGAAAUAAUCAGCCAAAAUGACUAUGCAUAAACUGAAGGCAGCUGGGCAAGCCUUUUAAAAAUAUCAAGUAAACAGAAAAAAAAAAGAAAGAAAAAGAAAAAAGAAAAACCUUAGUAAAGAUAAUUCCUCAAGAUUUAUGCCAUUGUCUUUAUUACAUUGUGAAGAGAAAGAUGGUAAAGGAGAAAAAGAAGGAAAGUAAAUACUUUAAAAAUCAUUCCUUUAACAUUUGUAAUGCUGGCUACAAAGAAGCUGACUGCCAGACAAU
This is a long non-coding RNA of Gallus gallus (chicken), 1369 nucleotides long. RefSeq lists it as uncharacterized. The record is from RefSeq and is a predicted model, not a curated record. The transcript has 4 exons. Lineage: Eukaryota; Metazoa; Chordata; Aves; Galliformes; Phasianidae.